Molecule: ribosomal RNA, 407 nt
Filed under: uncultured bacterium
Lineage: Bacteria
Description: partial 16S ribosomal RNA
Rfam family: Bacterial small subunit ribosomal RNA
Source: RNAcentral
GACGAACGCUGGCGGCAGGCCUAACACAUGCAAGUCGAGCGGAGCGGCGGACGGGUGCGUAAUGCCUAGGAAUCUGCCUGGUCGUGGGGGAUAACGUCCGGAAACGGGCGCUAUUACCGCUUACUAUCAGAUUAGCCUAGGUCGGAUUAGCUUGUUGGUGGGGUAAAGGCCUACCAAGGCGACGAUCCGUAACUGGUCUGAGAGGAUGAUCAGUCACACUGGAACUGAGACACGGUCCAGACUCCUACGGGAGGCAGCAGUGGGGAAUAUUGGACAAUGGGCGAAAGCCUGAUGCAGCCAUGCCGCGUGUGUGAAGAAGGUCUUCGGAUUGUAAAGCACUUUAAGUUGGGAGGCGUUACCCACAGAAGAAGCACCGGCUAACUUCGUGCCAGCAGCCGCGGUAAUAC